UACAGAGGUGGCAAGCGUUGUUCGGAAUUACUGGGCGUAAAGGGCGCGUAGGCGGCCUUCUAAGUCAGACGUGAAAUCCCCCGGCUUAACCUGGGAACUGCGUCUGAUAUUGGAGGGCUUGAGUGCGGGAGAGGGAUGUGGAAUUCCAGGUGUAGCGGUGAAAUGCGUAGAUAUCUGGAGGAACACCGGUGGCGAAGGCGGCAUCCUGGACCGACACUGACGCUGAGGCGCGAAAGCUAGGGUAGCAAACGGG
RNAcentral lists this ribosomal RNA (253 nucleotides) under uncultured bacterium. RNAcentral's name for it is "partial 16S ribosomal RNA". It matches the Rfam family "Bacterial small subunit ribosomal RNA", at positions 524 to 776 of the family's 1533-position model. The record is from RNAcentral.